AUAUUUAUUUAAAGUUUUGGUUCUUUGGUAUUUCAGCCAAAGAUUAAAAGGGAAUCGGGUGAGAAUCCCGAGCGGACCGGCCACUGUGAAUGGGGAGAAUCCUUUCUGUAGACCACUGGAGAAGUUCUCUGGGAAGGUGAAAGGGCUUUCGAAGAUCCAUGAGCCAGGAGACCUGCCAAAACUGAUGAGUAUAG
This 194-nucleotide non-coding RNA is filed under the name Caloranaerobacter azorensis. Lineage: Bacteria; Bacillati; Bacillota; Tissierellia; Tissierellales; Thermohalobacteraceae. The record is from RNAcentral.